This is a long non-coding RNA of Pogoniulus pusillus (Red-fronted tinkerbird), 418 nucleotides long. RefSeq lists it as uncharacterized. The record is from RefSeq and is a predicted model, not a curated record. The transcript has 3 exons. Lineage: Eukaryota; Metazoa; Chordata; Aves; Piciformes; Lybiidae.
CAACUGGGCUGAGGGAUCCUCCUCCUGGCAUCCCUGUCUCUCAGAAGCAAGCUGAGGCAGGGCUGCAUUUGCAGAGUCGUUGAAUCUGCCAGUGGAAGAACUGAGAGUGAAUGCCACUAUGUUUCUGCUGCUCAGUCUGCUUCUGUUUGCUGGACAUGAUGGCUUAACGUUGAGCUUGGAGGGUUUCUGCGAGCCUUAAAGAGCUGUUUCAAUGAAACAAAAAUAACUCUCCAUAAACAAACAGUUUACUGACCAAGCUUGCCAAGGCUGCAUCUCCCCAAACCUCAGGGGAAGAAUUGGCUGUAUUGAAUCAACUGCACUGAAAAAGGUCCCUCUCUUCAUGCCUUCAACACCUCCAAAUCUUUCAGGGCCUGCUGGGGCUGCCCACAGACUGACAGCAUCUCUGCAACUAAAAUAA